Long non-coding RNA from Siniperca chuatsi (mandarin fish), 596 nucleotides. RefSeq lists it as uncharacterized. The record is from RefSeq and is a predicted model, not a curated record. Lineage: Eukaryota; Metazoa; Chordata; Actinopteri; Centrarchiformes; Sinipercidae. The transcript has 3 exons.
CCGACGCUAAGAUUUCAGAUGCUGGCCAACCUCUCUAAGGGAACAGGUGUCCCCUCUGUCUGCCUGUGGUCGAGGUCCCGUAGUGGAAGCAUGGGAAAGGGCAGCCACCGCAGAGGUUCUACCCCAGCGGACAGAAGAGGGAUUUUGGGCCUGGUGGUGAGCACAUCAUUUUGAAGAGAGAUCAAAAGAGCAGCAGUGUCAGCCCUGAAGCAACCAGCUCAUCAGUGUGACCUGUGAUCAAUGGUGCAGGUGUGGAGGAGAACACCGGGGCAGUGGAGGGCCGGCUGCCCCUGCCCCGCCUGUGGCCGCGGAGGACGGCGUCGAUUAAUCACAGUGAAGCCUGCGAGAGCUCGCUCAUAAAUCGCCUCGCCGCUCCUUAAACAGGAGAGUCCCAGGGCGCAGCGCCGUCAUUUAUCAACACUCUCCCCUCCGGAUGAGGAGUAAAUAAAACUCUGAAUAUGUAACGGAGGGGAAAUGAGGAGGGGGGUGUCCUGGGAUGUUGAGGAUAUCAACUGGUGUAAUGAUAAAUAAAGAAGUGCCUAAACUAUGACCUCCAAGCAGUCAUCAAUGUAAUUUGUUUAUUUAUUGAAUAUUUU